This 539-nucleotide ribosomal RNA is filed under the name uncultured marine eukaryote. Its description in RNAcentral is "SSU rRNA". It matches the Rfam family "Eukaryotic small subunit ribosomal RNA", at positions 622 to 1165 of the family's 1831-position model. The record is from RNAcentral.
AAAAGCUCGUAGUUGAACUUCAGGCCUGGUUGGGCGGUCCGCUUAACGGCGUGUACUGUCUGACUGGGUCUUACCUCUUGGUGAGCCGGCGUGCCAUUUAUUUGGUGCGUCGGGGAACCAGGACUUUUACCUUGAGAAAAUUAGAGUGUUCAAAGCAGGCUUACGCCUGAAUACAUUAGCAUGGAAUAAUAAAAUAGGACGUGCGGUUCUAUUUUGUUGGUUUCUAGAGUUGCCGUAAUGAUUAAUAGGGAUAGUUGGGGGCAUUGGUAUUGAGUCGCUAGAGGUGAAAUUCUUGGAUUGACUCAAGACCAACUAUUGCGAAAGCAUUUGCCAAGGAUGUUUUCAUUAAUCAAGAACGAAGGUUAGGGGAUCGAAAACGAUCAGAUACCGUUGUAGUCUUAACAGUAAACUAUGCCGACUAGGGAUCGGACAACCUCAAUUUUGAUGUGUUGUUCGGCACCUUACGAGAAGUCAAAGUCUUUGGGUUCUGGGGGGAGUAUGGUCGCAAGGCUGAAACUUAAAGGAAUUGACGGAAGGGC